AUAGCUGGAGUAGUUGUGCAUUGGGCUUCAAUUGAGCAUAUUGGUUGUAGCCUCUAUAGAGAGGUUACACUCAUGGACACAAGGUACCUUUGAGUUAUGUUAGUAAUUUUGUUAGGUAAAAAAGGUGCAUCAAGAUAAAAAAAUGCUAUAACACAAUAUGCAGAAAAAUAACUAUAAGUUUUCUUUUUUUAAAGGUGCAACUUGAUUGUUGUUGGUGUUUGGUCCCACCAUUUGACCCGACAUGCGCGUAGCUGGUCAUUGGCUAAUGCUAACAAUGACAUAGUCUUAUUAACUAUGCUUCAAAAUAACAAGAGACACGGGUGCUUGGAGACUUCAGAGAAUACAACUUUGAAAUUUAACCCAAGUCAUUGUGCUACACGUACACUGCAGAGCGUGCGAGGAUCGGUGAUCACAGGAUCUAUGGACCUCCGUUUCGUUAACAGAUUUCUUGAGAAUAGAUGGGCGUACCUAGCAACCGUGGUUUGAGUGUGAUGGCUAUAAGUACUAAUAGUUCUUAGAGGACUACUAUGGCUAAACAUUAUUCACAUAUGUUAAUGUGUCUAUCGGUUCUAUAGUUUUUGUUUCAUUAUGAUGUUUGUGUUGUUUAAGUAAUUAUACCAAUGGAUACUGCCAGCUACAUUUCUUAUUAUGGUGUUUUUAUGUCUGUAAUAUAUACUACUACCUUUCUCAUU
This is a long non-coding RNA of Phragmites australis (common reed), 692 nucleotides long. RefSeq lists it as uncharacterized. The record is from RefSeq and is a predicted model, not a curated record. Lineage: Eukaryota; Viridiplantae; Streptophyta; Magnoliopsida; Poales; Poaceae. The transcript is spliced from 3 exons.